Long non-coding RNA from Dermochelys coriacea (leatherback sea turtle), 1363 nucleotides. RefSeq lists it as uncharacterized. The record is from RefSeq and is a predicted model, not a curated record. The transcript is spliced from 2 exons. NCBI's taxonomy places the organism in Eukaryota, Metazoa, Chordata, Testudines, Dermochelyidae.
CUCCCCAAUGUUAACCAUUUAGAGUUUGCACAUUCAGCAGGACAAUACUAGCCAAACCUACUUACACUACUGAAAGCUCCGUACUAGGAAUAUGUCCCUGAAAGACACAGUACACAGAAGUAUACCCCACUGCAAUCAAAAAUGCUUUGCAACACUUAGAAAACACCAUGACUACAAUUAUUAUCAUACUGUUAUAAUCCUACAUUUUCAUUAUGCAGACAAAUAGCUAUGGCUCUUUACCUUUCUGAGGUUAUCGACUCUGUAACAGAGGAAGGGAAUAUUGUCCUAUUAUUGCUAAAAGAGCAAAACACACAUGCUAGUUACAAUUCUGUUGCUAUAUCGGUGUCUCUGCCUUCUCUCUCCGUUUUUAGUAGUAUGAGAUAAAAAUCAGACAUGGCAAUGAAGAAAGGCCUGAGUACCAUGCACAGGCUAGGACUGACCACCAACCAGCCUUAAUACAUUUACAGUUUGACAACGGUUUCUCUGAGGAGGAGGAGAGAUAAUGAAAAUUCACAGCUGCUGCUUACAUAAUACAGGUUACACAAUUAUAUGCGGAAAGAAAAUGAAUUAAAAACGGUAGAAGAGCCAUAUGUGAUCUUUGAAAACAAGCACACAAAGGGAAAUCCCUAAAGGCUGGAGAAGCGAAAUCAUCAUCCUGCAAGACAGGCAUUUAGUUCUUUGACAAGCUGGGUGCUUAAAGAAAAAAGUGUCUGCUGACUAGUGUGAUUGUUCAAUUGUCUUAUGUUCUCCUCUUAAGAGCAUGACCAACUCCUUCUACUGCCCAAGUAUGCAGACACAACACCAUCAGCCAGAAGUGACAUACCAACAACACAUCUGAGCAUCUCUGUAAAACAGUCCUACCCCUCUGGCCAGCAACGAGACACACACACUGCCUCUGCAGAAUAAAUUUACAGUCCUUUCCCUAGUCCAGAAUAAGACUCCUGUAAAUCAAGACAACAUAUGCUCCAUAGAGGACAAUGGUGUGUCUGCAAAAUUCCAGCUCAGCUGAAAUUACACUCUAUCUCAGCUUCCCCCUGUGAUUUCAACUGAAUAUAGCAUUCUUCAGUUCGUGUGUUGAAGUGCUAUAUAAUGUUGCUGUGCACCGUUAUUCAGCAGCUGUAUCCCACCCCAGAUGUGACAGUAUUUCACAGGUGGAUGAAGUGAGCCAUUACAUACUUCAGAAAUAUAAAGCUCAGAUCUCUAAAUGAGAGCCAUUAUUAGAAUUUCAAAAUAUUAUUAUUUGAGAAUAUUAACAGGAAAUUCUCCUUGUUCACCAUAUUUCAAUGGAUUAAGUAUGUUAACAUGAAUUACAGUGUCUUCCAAUAUUUAUAAAUAAACCAUUUGAUUUUUUUAUUCUUUUAAA